Misgurnus anguillicaudatus (oriental weatherfish) is the source of this 645-nucleotide non-coding RNA. NCBI's taxonomy places the organism in Eukaryota, Metazoa, Chordata, Actinopteri, Cypriniformes, Cobitidae. The record is from RefSeq and is a predicted model, not a curated record.
GGAUAAAAGUAAAUCAGAACAAAAGUUAGCACUAUAACACAUUGUUAGUAAAACGCGUAACUAGUUCUUGUGUUUUAAACCUUGCGUAUCUAAAACGCAAUGGUACGUAGGAAGCUAGCAGCAGAUUCAUUUCGGCCGACAGAUUCGCACUUACUAAUGGACGUAGAAGGGGGCCGAUAGGUACGUUAAUAAAAAUCUACAGUUCCAGCAGCAACAACAUAAACAAACGGCUUUUGAGGACUAAAAGCAACUUCUGGUACAGGUCCUUAAAUUCUUGCCUGGCUGCCAAACUUCUCGGCACAGCAGUGAUUCAUACUCACCAUCUCCCCUCGACUUUAGAAAACCAAAACACUUCAUUUUCGUCAAGCAGAAGACACCGGCUGACACAUGGCCCCUGUGCAGAGAAGACCCCUGAGCUGUCAACACCCAUGUUUUAUCAACCGCAUAACUUUAAACCACCUCAGAACAAUGGCUCAAAAUUAGACUACAGAAAAAUACCUUGAGUCAAUAUUGCGAUGCGAGCGGGAGGAGGGAAAAAGAGCAGCAAAAUAUCAAAAUGAUUUCCGCUGACCUGCGAUAUGUAUCCAGAACUCUGACAUCUCAGACUAUUAAUUUACACACAGAGAUAAAGCAUGCAAAGGUUAA